The submitters of this non-coding RNA (32 nucleotides) gave its source as unclassified sequences. The record is from Rfam.
GAAGAGGAACCGAAAAUCUUAAAGAGUAGGAA